Molecule: ribosomal RNA, 331 nt
Filed under: Anopsicus sp. USA3
Lineage: Eukaryota; Metazoa; Arthropoda; Arachnida; Araneae; Pholcidae
Description: partial 12S ribosomal RNA
Source: RNAcentral
UCUUAAAUAAAUAAAGGUAGUAAUACAAAAUAAAACCCAUAAAACUUGAUAGUUAUAACACACUAAAGAGGUUUGUUUCAUAAUCGAUAACCCGCGAUAAUUUUCACCUUUUUUAAAAAUUCAUAUACCGCCGUUAUUAUAAGAAACAAUAAAAACUAUAUUUCAUAAUAAAAUAAAUUAAAAAGUCAGGUCAAGGUGUGAUCAAUAAAAAGAGAAGAAAUUAACCAUAAAUAAAUUACAUUUAAAAUAUAUAAAUUUAACAUAUUUAUAAAAAAUAAUUUAGAAGUAAAUAUAAACUAAUAUUUUAUAUAUAAAAAUAAUAUUAUAAUAU